Molecule: ribosomal RNA, 373 nt
Filed under: uncultured bacterium
Lineage: Bacteria
Description: bacterial SSU rRNA
Rfam family: Bacterial small subunit ribosomal RNA
Source: RNAcentral
AUACGGAGGAUCCAAGCGUUAUCCGGAUUUAUUGGGUUUAAAGGGUGCGUAGGCGGCUUUUUAAGUCAGGGGUGAAAACUUGCGGCUCAACCGUAAGCUUGCCUUUGAUACUGAGGAGCUUGAAUACACUUGAGGUAGGCGGAAUGUGACAAGUAGCGGUGAAAUGCAUAGAUAUGUCACAGAACACCAAUUGCGAAGGCAGCUUACUAAAGUGUGAUUGACGCUGAGGCACGAAAGCGUGGGGAUCAAACAGGAUUAGAUACCCUGGUAGUCCACGCCCUAAACGAUGAAUACUCGAUGUUAGCGAUAUACAGUUAGCGUCUAAGCGAAAGCGUUAAGUAUUCCACCUGGGGAGUACGCCCGCAAGGGUGAA